This is a long non-coding RNA of Xenia sp. Carnegie-2017, 298 nucleotides long. RefSeq lists it as uncharacterized. Lineage: Eukaryota; Metazoa; Cnidaria; Anthozoa; Malacalcyonacea; Xeniidae. The transcript is spliced from 2 exons. The record is from RefSeq and is a predicted model, not a curated record.
AAAGACAUACUUAGUAAAACGUUUUUAUGUCGUCAUCUGUGUUAGGAAUAAGACGAAAAGAUAGAGGACUAUAUGAAUGAGGAAAAAAUUCUUCUUUAUAAAAGCCAUGUUAGAUAAAAUUAAAAUUAUUUCACAUAAUGUAUGCAUAACUGAAAUUCUGUGACGUGUCAUAAUUUUUAUUCAUCUUGUUAAUUUUUAGCCCUGCCGUACCAAUGAUAUUUGAAAAGACUAAUGAAAUUAAUUGUUGGUGACAACGCAAGAAAGGUAUGAAAACACCGGACAUAAAAUCACAACAAAA